UACGGAGGGGGCAAGCGUUGUUCGGAAUCAUUGGGCGUAAAGGGCGCGUAGGCGGCCGGCCAAGUCGGGUGUGAAAUCCCUCGGCUCAACCGAGGAACUGCACUCGAUACUGCCUGGCUAGAGUCCGGGAGGGGAUGGUGGAAUUCCCAGUGUAGCGGUGAAAUGCGUAGAUAUUGGGAAGAACACCGGUGGCGAAGGCGGCCAUCUGGACCGGAACUGACGCUGAGGCGCGAAAGCCAGGGGAGCGAAUGGGAUUAGAAACCCCCGUAGUCC
This 273-nucleotide ribosomal RNA is filed under the name uncultured bacterium. Its description in RNAcentral is "partial 16S ribosomal RNA". It matches the Rfam family "Bacterial small subunit ribosomal RNA", at positions 524 to 796 of the family's 1533-position model. The record is from RNAcentral.